UCGAGCGGGGUUUUCGGACCUAGCGGCGGACGGGUGAGUAAUGCGUAUGUUAGCUACCCGAUAGAGGGGGAUACCAGUUGGAAACGACUGUUAAUACCGCAUAAUGUCUACGGACCAAAGUGUGGGACCUUCGGGCCACAUGCUAUCGGAUGCGCCUACGUGGGAUUAGCUAGUUGGUGGGGUAAUGGCUCACCAAGGCGACGAUCCCUAGCUGGUUUGAGAGGAUGAUCAGCCACACUGGAACUGAGACACGGUCCAGACUCCUACGGGAGGCAGCAGUGGGGAAUAUUGGACAAUGGGCGCAAGCCUGAUCCAGCCAUGCCGCGUGUGUGAAGAAGGCCUUCGGGUUGUAAAGCACUUUCAGCGAGGAGGAAGGGAGUUGUGUUAAUAGUACAGCUUCUUGACGUUACUCGCAGAAGAAGCACCGGCUAACUCUGUGCCAGCAGCCGCGGUAAUACAGAGGGUGCAAGCGUUAAUCGGAAUUACUGGGCGUAAAGCGCACGUAGGCGGUUUUUUAAGUCAGAUGUGAAAGCCCCGGGCUCAACCUGGGAAUUGCAUUUGAAACUGGAAAACUAGAGUGUGUGAGAG
RNAcentral lists this ribosomal RNA (588 nucleotides) under uncultured bacterium. Its description in RNAcentral is "bacterial SSU rRNA". It matches the Rfam family "Bacterial small subunit ribosomal RNA", at positions 62 to 656 of the family's 1533-position model. The record is from RNAcentral.